AGCAGCCGCGGUAAAACGUAGGAGGCGAGCGUAUUCCGGAAUUACUGGGCGUAAAGCGCACGUAGGCGGCGCUGCAAGUGGUGCGUGAAAGCUCCCGGCUCAACUGGGAGAGGCCGUACCAAACUGCGGUGCUAGAGACAGAUAGAGGUCGACAGAAUUCCGGGUGGAGUGGUGAAAUGCGUAGAGAUCCGGAGGAAUACCAGAGGCGAAGGCGGUCGGCUGGGUCUGUUCUGACGCUGAGGUGCGAAAGUGUGGGGAGCGAACGGGAUUAGAAACCCCGGUAGUCCACACCGUAAACGAUGCAUACUAGUUGUUAGGUGCCUACGGGCGCUGAGUGACGAAGCCAACGCGUUAAGUAUGCCGCCUGGGGAGUACGGUCGCAAGGCUAAAACUCAAAGGAAUUGACGGGGGCCCGCACAAGCAGCGGAGCGUGUGGUUUAAUUCGAGGCUACGCGAAGAACCUUACCUGGGCUUGACAUGAUAGUAGUACCCUGGUGGAAACAUCGGGGGACCUUCGGGAGCUAUCACAGGUGCUGCAUGGCUGUCGUCAGCUCGUGCCGUGAGGUGUUCGGUUAAGUCCGAAAACGAGCGCAACCCCUGGCGUUAGUUACAAGUGUCUAACGCGACUGCCCGGGGAAACUGGGAGGAAGGUGGGGAUGACGUCAAGUCAGCAUGGCCUUUAUGUCCAGGGCGACACACACGCUACAAUGGCCGGUACAAUAGGCAGCCAAGCCGCGAGGUGGAGCGAAUCCAACAAAACCGGUCUCAGUUCAGAUUGUAGGCUGCAACUCGCCUGCAUGAAGUCGGAGUUGCUA
Molecule: ribosomal RNA, 815 nt
Filed under: uncultured organism
Description: bacterial SSU rRNA
Rfam family: Bacterial small subunit ribosomal RNA
Source: RNAcentral